RNAcentral lists this ribosomal RNA (253 nucleotides) under uncultured prokaryote. Its description in RNAcentral is "partial 16S ribosomal RNA". It matches the Rfam family "Bacterial small subunit ribosomal RNA", at positions 524 to 776 of the family's 1533-position model. The record is from RNAcentral.
UACAGAGGGUGCGAGCGUUAAUCGGAAUUACUGGGCGUAAAGCGCGCGUAGGCGGCUUUGCAAGUCGGUUGUGAAAUCCCCGGGCUUAACCUGGGAACUGCAUUCGAGACUGCAUUGCUAGAGUAUGGGAGAGGGAAGUGGAAUUUCAGGUGUAGCGGUGAAAUGCGUAGAUAUCGGGAGGAACACCUGUGGCGAAAGCGGCUCACUGGACCACAACUGACGCUGAUGCACGAAAGCUAGGGGAGCAAACAGG